Parasteatoda tepidariorum (common house spider) is the source of this 1884-nucleotide long non-coding RNA. Lineage: Eukaryota; Metazoa; Arthropoda; Arachnida; Araneae; Theridiidae. The record is from RefSeq and is a predicted model, not a curated record.
UCUUGUCUGUGAGGAUAGCCAGUCACCAGUGACCCCCAUGGCAUUCAACGUGUUAAAUCAACUUGACUUAACUCAUUUUAGGCCAACCAUAUACAUUUUAUAAAAUGUGGUGUUAUUUUCAUUGAAAUAUGCUUAUAUUACACUCAUUAAGACACACAAAAAAGUUUCAUGCAUGAAAAAUUAUAUUUUAUUUAAGAAAUAAAAUGGGGCGUAUAGGCACCAUUCACCAAAUUAAUGAACAAACCAUUUAGUUAAACACUUGCUUUUUCUAUGGAAUUUUUUCAUUUACUGACUUGCAACUUUAAUCCAUCAUAAGAACCUAAUAAUAAAUCUCAAAAGGACUAAUUAUACAUUUUCAAAAAAUUUCAUUUGUCAAUAACCAUUUUAAGUUGAAAAGCUUUUGUAGUUUUAAAAUUUCUCAAUAGAAAGUGUUUACUCCAAUUGAAUUACUAUUAAUUUUUGGGGUGUCUUAAGAACCCUUGACAAUAGCAGAAAAAUAAAAUUAGUGAAAAAUAUACGUCACAGUGUUAAUAAAUUUUUUAUUUAUUUAAAUGGUGUGUUUGUGCCCCUUUCUCCAAAAAUGAGUUAAAUAAAUUAAAAUCAACUAAUAUUUUUAAAAAUCAUUAGUUUGAAUAAAAUUUUUUUACAAAAAAAAUCUUUCAAUGAAAUUUUUAUAGUUUUAUUUAUAAAUAUAUUGCUCUGCUAAUAAGUUUCAAUCAAAAUUACAUUAUUACUAAUUCCUAUGCAUUCUAAAACUAGGGAUGGAUAAUUUAACUGUUUAAAAACACAUUCUUGAAAAGUGCAAUUAAUUUUAAUAUUACAAAUAUAUUUUUAUAUCAUAAAAUUAUCUUUGUUUAAAGUGUGAUUUUUUAAGAAAAAAAAUUUAUUACUUUAUAUUUAUAGAUGAUUGUGCUCUGAAUUUCCGGAUUUUUCGCUAACCAUGUUCCGUAGGUUUCUGGAAAUCCAAGGUCCAGAAGUUUCAAGAAAUCAUUGACCACAUUAAUUCAAAUGACAGAAUAUUUGAUUUCUAAUCCCAGUUUGUUGCUGCAUCAUUUUGUACUAAUAACUGAACAAAUUUAGCUGAAAAACAGUUUAGUUACUCUAUUUGCAAUUAAAAAAAAGUAUAUAAUAUUAUAAGGAAGCUUUUAUGAUGUUUGUAUGAUAACAGAUAAAAUGUUUUUUAACCAGAUAAAAGUGACAAUUUGCAUUUUAUACUAUACCUCUAGUUUGUCUAUGGUAAGAACUCCCCUUGCCACAAAGUCUGAGGCUUUAUGCUGCUAUGGAAACAAGACUAGCGCAUUUCAGGGAGGGUAGCUUCUCGUCACUCUAGAGCUAACACAAUAGACCGAAGAAAAAGUUCAUUUCUCUUGCUGACUGGAGCCAAAACUUACCCUAAACAGUGACCCCACACCCCUACCUGAAAUAGUUUUACCUCGUUACCAAAGUCACCGCCACAGGUCCAGACGAAUGGCAUGGGACUUCAAACAAACUCUAUUUGUUUGAUAACCAUUGGUUAAAAGUUACAUUGUAAAUUCGUUCUGUAGCUCCACAGCAUGUUAUUGUAUACUUCUCUAAUUACAAUGUUUCCUUAAUUAAAAUUUGAUAUUCUGAUGUGAUUCCUAACACGUCUUCUGAAAAAGAUAGAUCAGAUUUGGAACAGCUUCGAAAGGCCGUAGAUUCAUCUGCACGUCCUCAAAAUUUAGAGAUAAGUCAUAGAUGGUCUAAAGCAGACUCAGAUACUGAAAUCUCAGAGUUAUCAAAAAGUCUAACUGAUUCAGAUCCAGUGGUUUCAUCAUUGAAAGAAAAGAUCAAAUCUCUUGAAGAUCAAGAUAAGAAUGUUCGGUGUCUCAUUUGUUUGGUAAACUUCAUUUUAUGCAUUUACAU